Molecule: transfer RNA, 72 nt
Filed under: Marmota monax (woodchuck)
Lineage: Eukaryota; Metazoa; Chordata; Mammalia; Rodentia; Sciuridae
Rfam family: tRNA
About the family: Transfer RNA (tRNA) molecules are approximately 80 nucleotides in length. Their secondary structure includes four short double-helical elements and three loops (D, anti-codon, and T loops).
Source: Rfam by way of RNAcentral
UGAGGUUUGGCUUAGUGGUAAAGCACUCACCUAGCACGUGCAAGACACUGGGUUUGAUCCUCAGCACCACAU